AUAUAUGUAUCCUGGAAGCUUGAUUUAAAGUAUGUUUCUGAAAUGCUGCAAUUAUUAUAUUUUUCUUUUGAUGAUCAGUUGUAUUUUCUUUGCACUGACUUCUGUGUGGUUGUGUAAUACUCCCUGCUUAUGUAGCCUUCAGAUUUAGAUUUCAUAAUCUACCUAACUUCUUGCUUUCCUGAGUGGCUAGUCAGCCUGAAUUUGAAGAAUUGGGAUGCUGAACCAUCAAUAUCAGAUUAACAGGACUGUGACACCCGAGAAAGAAAGGAGGCUGGAGUGAUGCUGAUUACACUGGAAGGCCUUGAUAGCACUUACCGUGCACCUGGCUACGUGACUCCUAUUCCCCUAUCACAGGGAAGAGAUGAGUUUUCUCCCUUCAUGUGACAACAAUGUUUUCAUGUCAUUGAUAUUUUUUAUUUAAUGCUGCUAGUAACCACACACUGUAAAGCGGAGCCAGCGUUUGGAAAAUGCAAUUUGUUCCUCAAAGAAAGGAAUGAGGAAAGAUGUUUCAGUGGGAAACUGUAAGUAAAGAGUGUUAAUACUGCACUUAGCUGUGACUCACUUUGCAGAUCCUGGCCUUACAGACAGGGAAGACUUCUUGAUCCUGUUGUGAAAAGAAGAGAAGGCUUUUACAUGCAGUGCUGGCAAGCUCUGGCUGACUUGGACAGCAUUGGGCUUUCUGCUGCAAGUUGCUAACCUAGACUUCCGGGAAGCACCUUUAUGUUCAAGUACUGACUUCCUACCCAGCCAGAGAGGGGUGCCUGACAGGUGCUGGACCUCCAAGUUAAAGCAGUGUCUAUACACUCAAGGUUACACUUUAAAUUGAACCUGGAAACAGUCACCAGUACAGCCUGAGUUGCUGGAAUUAUUGCAGCUGAUUUUGCCCCAGGCACGGUUCACUGGGGAGUUGGUACCUGGGGUUCUGUUGAUAUCCCUGUCACUGGCAAGGCUUGUAUCAGGCCACUUAGCAUCAUAUUGAUCCAACAGCUUACUUCAUUGAGGCCAAUGGAGAUAACUCUUCAAUAGCCAUAAUUCCACUUGCCUGCAUGCUACAUAAAUUGCCUUCUCAAUCACCAGGUUUUAUUGUGGGGCAGGACUGUUCCUUUGAAGCUUCUGGUGCUGGCUGCUGUCAGAAGCAGGAUACUUGCCUCAAUGAUCCAUUGCUCCUAAUCAGGAAAAACCACUGGUGUUUAGUGCCAGCUGUCUGCUUAUUACAGCAAAGGAACUGGGAGAAGACAUCAGGAACAAGGCAAUCAUUAAAGAGAUAUGGAAGAUCUACCAUGCAGACACAGAAUACUGCCUGCGACCAGCCCAGUCUACACUCUACUCUUCUGAGUAUUAUCUUAGGUGUUAGACAUUUUAAUUUGAAGUAGCACCCAUAAUUACAUUUUUAAGAAGCCAAAUCCAGCAUGCUUACCAGGACCAGCCCCUGGGGUGCUUGCUGCUUGCACUGGUUGGGUCCAGAUGUAAGCGUACUGCUCAGUUUGAUCCUGGCUGAGACUUUGGAGCCCAGAGAGUUACUCACCUCUCGGGCCCAGAGGAAAUGGCUGGGUAGAGGACCUCCCCGACUACUGCGCUGGCCAUGGACACAUGUAAGUUCCUCAAAGUUCUGUUCAAGAUUAAAUUAGGCACAUUCAUUGUUUCUGAAUGUGGACCUUUGUUCUUAUGCAUUUAUGUAUACCAGCAACAGAAGUAGUAUGGACUAAUAGGUUUGGUAAAAGGCUUAUAAACUAACAGGUAGAAGUACUCAGCAGCUGUUCAUUAAAUGCAGAUAGUGUGGCCGUUCCACUUUUCAAGGUUUUACCAAGGUGCAAAACUGCAUCAGCCUGUCUCUGUCUCAUAGAGACACAUGGUUUCUUCCACUUCCAUUUUUUAAGGUAAUACUUACAUUAAGCUCUGAUUCACAGGAAAAUGCAAACGAAAUCCUAAAAGUUUGUCAGCAUCUCGAUAUUCUCUUGAUUUAAAAAAGUUUAACUUGUUCUUCCUUUUUUUUAGUACAGAAAUAGACAUCUGAGUCACUAAUUUGUUUGCCCUCUUUGAGGCUGUUGAAAUGUAAAAGAGAUGAGUUAGCAGCCCCUGGCAGUGGGGGCUAUAAUGGAGAUGCUGACAGACUUAUUUAUAGUGUGGUCGUGCUACCAGGCAUUACAAUUACAUUUCACUCAGGGAAGUUACUUUGACUUCUUUAAGUGACAUCUGUAGUUAAACAGCUCUUUAAAGCUCAUCUUAACACCGUACAUGUUUAGACGAUUGAAUUUUUGUCAUAACCAGGGUACCAUACCAGUGGUUAUCCUGAUGCUCUGUUUUACUUUAAAGGCCUACAAUUGUCUUAUCUCAUUCCCUGCCUUAAUUACUUUAAAUGUACUGACAAGCACAACUGACCAAUUAAUAGUGCUUUUUCUCAUCUUAUCUCAUUUGUUAUCCAUGAUGCUCUUCCAUGUUGUAAUUACUUUUCAAUUUUUCAUGACUCAAAAUAGGAGAUGUACAUAAUGAAUACAAAUAGCAAAUUGAUUAAAUGUAACAUGCAUUGUAGCACCACUAAGACUGUCAUUUGUUAUUAAUGAGAGAGAUUUGUCAGGUUCUUGUGAAAAGGCUUGUGACGCACAGCAAUCCAAACCUAAUAGCUGUAAGACUGUAGCCGACCUUCAGCUGUUUAAUUGUCAUGC
This is a long non-coding RNA of Aquila chrysaetos chrysaetos, 2663 nucleotides long. RefSeq lists it as uncharacterized. The record is from RefSeq and is a predicted model, not a curated record. The transcript has 11 exons. Lineage: Eukaryota; Metazoa; Chordata; Aves; Accipitriformes; Accipitridae.